Molecule: ribosomal RNA, 496 nt
Filed under: uncultured bacterium
Lineage: Bacteria
Description: partial 16S ribosomal RNA
Rfam family: Bacterial small subunit ribosomal RNA
Source: RNAcentral
AUGAACGCUGGCGGCGUGCCUAAUACCUGCCAGUCGAGCGAACAGACGAGGAGCUUGCUCCUCUGACGUUAGCGGCGGACGGGUGAGUAACACGUGGAUAACCUACCUAUAAGACUGGGAUAACUUCGGGAAACCGGAGCUAAUACCGGAUAAUAUAUUGAACCGCAUGGUUCAAUAGUGAAAGACGGUUUUGCUGUCACUUAUAGAUGGAUCCGCGCCGCAUUAGCUAGUUGGUAAGGUAACGGCUUACCAAGGCAACGAUGCGUAGCCGACCUGAGAGGGGGAUCGGCCACACUGGAACUGGGACACGGUCCAGACUCCUAAGGGAGGCAGCAGUAGGGAAUCUUCCGCAAUGGGCGAAAGCCUGACGGAGCAACGCCGCGUGAGUGAUGAAGGUCUUCGGAUCGUAAAACUCUGUUAUUAGGGAAGAACAAAUGUGUAAGUAAAUAUGCCCGGCUUGACGGUAACUAAUCAGAAAGCCACGGCUAACUACGUG